AGUGAACGCUGGCGGUAGGCCUAACACAUGCAAGUCGAACGGCAGCACAGUAAGAGCUUGCUCUUACGGGUGGCGAGUGGCGGACGGGUGAGGAAUAAAUCGGAAUCUACUUUUUCGUGGGGGAUAACGUAGGGAAACUUACGCUAAUACCUCAUACGACCUACGGGUGAAAGCAGGGGAUCUUCGGACAUUGCACGAUUGAAUGAGCCGAUGUCGGAUUAGCCAGUUGGCGGGGUAAAGGCCCACCAAGGCGACGAUCCGUAGCUGGUCUGAGAGGAUGAUCAGCCACACUGGAACUGAGACACGGUCCAGACUCCUACGGGAGGCAGCAGUGGGGAAUAUUGGACAAUGGGCGCAAGCCUGAUCCAGCCAUACCGCGUAGGUGAAGAAGGCCUUCGGGUUGUAAAGCCCUUUUGUUGGGAAAGAAAAGCAGCAGGUUAAUACCCCGCUGUUCUGACGGUACCCAAAGAAUAAGCACCGGCUAACUUCGUG
RNAcentral lists this ribosomal RNA (492 nucleotides) under uncultured bacterium. RNAcentral describes it as "partial 16S ribosomal RNA". It matches the Rfam family "Bacterial small subunit ribosomal RNA", at positions 29 to 507 of the family's 1533-position model. The record is from RNAcentral.